UACGUAGGGGGCGAGCGUUGUCCGGAUUCAUUGGGCGUAAAGAGCUCGUAGGCGGCUUGGCAAGUCGGGUGUGAAACCUCCAGGCUCAACCUGGAGCUGCCACUCGAUACUGCCAUGGCUUGAGUCCGGUAGGGGACCACGGAAUUCCUGGUGUAGCGGUGAAAUGCGCAGAUAUCAGGAGGAACACCGGUGGCGAAGGCGGUGGUCUGGGCCGGUACUGACGCUGAUGAGCGAAAGCGUGGGGA
This 245-nucleotide ribosomal RNA is filed under the name uncultured Aciditerrimonas sp. RNAcentral's name for it is "partial 16S ribosomal RNA". It matches the Rfam family "Bacterial small subunit ribosomal RNA", at positions 524 to 767 of the family's 1533-position model. Lineage: Bacteria; Bacillati; Actinomycetota; Acidimicrobiia; Acidimicrobiales; Acidimicrobiaceae. The record is from RNAcentral.